Molecule: long non-coding RNA, 406 nt
Filed under: Monodelphis domestica (gray short-tailed opossum)
Lineage: Eukaryota; Metazoa; Chordata; Mammalia; Didelphimorphia; Didelphidae
Description: lncRNA (ENSMODG00000035572.2)
Source: RNAcentral
GGGAGACUCACUGGCUUUAUGCUGCCCAAUUAUCUCUGGAAAAUGUAUUUCAGUGAUUUGAACUUUUAAUUGCAGCUUAAAUCAAAUGCUCAUAGACUCAGGAGUCAUCGAGUGGAUGGUACCAGCUAAUGAUAUACUGCAACCAUUGUCACCACCUUCCAUUUCAGAGGGAGAGGGACACAGAGUUGGGAGCUCCUGGUGAUCAUAUUGAAAUGAGAAUCAGAUGGGACAGCAAGAGGCUGGAUAUAUCAAAUGUUGAAGUCUAACAACGAUUGGUAAGGAUAUGUUACAGUAAAGAUUAUAAUGGAGUCAUAUAAGGGCCAUUUCCUUGUGUGUAUUCCAUGUCUGCAACCCAGAACCAAUUGUAUGCCCAAGGAAUAUGAUUUGAGGGGCACUCUCACCCAUU